This 433-nucleotide ribosomal RNA is filed under the name uncultured bacterium. Its description in RNAcentral is "partial 16S ribosomal RNA". It matches the Rfam family "Bacterial small subunit ribosomal RNA", at positions 29 to 507 of the family's 1533-position model. The record is from RNAcentral.
AACGAACGCUGGCGGCAUGCCUAACACAUGCAAGUCGAACGAGACCUUCGGGUCUAGUGGCGCACGGGUGCGUAACGCGUGGGAACCUGCCCUUAGGUUCGGAAUAACUCCCCGAAAGGGGUGCUAAUACCGGAUAAUGUCUUCGGACCAAAGAUUUAUCGCCUUUGGAUGGGCCCGCGUUGGAUUAGCUAGUUGGUAGGGUAAAAGCCUACCAAGGCGACGAUCCAUAGCUGGUCUGAGAGGAUGAUCAGCCACACUGGGACUGAGACACGGCCCAGACUCCUACGGGAGGCAGGAGGGGGGAAUAAUGGACAAUGGGGGAAAGGCUUAACCAGCAAAGCCGGGUGAGUGAUGAAGGCCUUAGGGUUGUAAAGCUCUUUUACCCGGGAUGAUAAUGACAGUACCGGGAGAAUAAGCUCCGGCUAACUCCGUG